Molecule: ribosomal RNA, 414 nt
Filed under: uncultured bacterium
Lineage: Bacteria
Description: bacterial SSU rRNA
Rfam family: Bacterial small subunit ribosomal RNA
Source: RNAcentral
CAGUGGGGAAUAUUGGACAAUGGGCGCAAGCCUGAUCCAGCCAUGCCGCGUGAGUGAUGAAGGCCUUAGGGUUGUAAAGCUCUUUUACCAGGGAAGAUAAUGACGGUACCUGGAGAAUAAGCCCCGGCUAACUUCGUGCCAGCAGCCGCGGUAAUACGAAGGGGGCUAGCGUUGCUCGGAAUCACUGGGCGUAAAGCGCACGUAGGUGGGUCGUUAAGUCAGGGGUGAAAUCCCGGAGCUCAACUCCGGAACUGCCUUUGAUACUGGCGAUCUUGGAGUCCGGGAGAGGUGAGUGGAACUGCGAGUGUAGAGGUGAAAUUCGUAGAUAUUCGCAAGAACACCAGUGGCGAAGGCGGCUCACUGGCCCGGUACUGACACUGAGGUGCGAAAGCGUGGGGAGCAAACAGGAUUAGA